ACUCAAAUGAAUUGACGGGGGCCCGCACAAGCGGUGGAGCAUGUGGCUUAAUUCGAUGCAACGCGAAGAACCUUACCUGGCCUUGACAUGUACGUAGUAGGAGGAUGAAAGUCUAACGAGGUAGCAAUACCAGCGUACACAGGUGCUGCAUGGCUGUCGUCAGCUCGUGCCGUGAGGUGUUCGGUUAAGUCCGGUAACGAGCGCAACCCCUGUGUCUUGUUGCCACUCCGACGAGAGUCGGAAGCACUCGAGACAGACUGCUCUGUGAAACGGAGAGGAAGGUGGGGAUGACGUCAAGUCAGUAUGGUCCUUACGGCCAGGGCUGCACACGUGCUACAAUGCCUAAUACAGAGGGAAGCCAAACCGCGAGGUGGAGCAAAUCCCAUAAAAUUAGGCCCAGUUCAGAUUGAAGGCUGCAACUCGCCUUCAUGAAGUUGGAAUCGCUAGUAAUGGCGCAUCAGCUACGGCGCCGUGAAUACGUUCCCGGGCCUUGUACACACCGCCCGU
RNAcentral lists this ribosomal RNA (507 nucleotides) under uncultured bacterium. RNAcentral describes it as "partial 16S ribosomal RNA". It matches the Rfam family "Bacterial small subunit ribosomal RNA", at positions 899 to 1397 of the family's 1533-position model. The record is from RNAcentral.